RNAcentral lists this ribosomal RNA (465 nucleotides) under uncultured bacterium. RNAcentral describes it as "partial 16S ribosomal RNA". It matches the Rfam family "Bacterial small subunit ribosomal RNA", at positions 28 to 507 of the family's 1533-position model. The record is from RNAcentral.
GAUGAACGCUGGCGGCGUGCUUAACACAUGCAAGUCGAACGGAAAGGCUCCUGCUUGCAGGGGUACUCGAGUGGCGAACGGGUGAGUAACACGUGGGUGAUCUGCCCUGCACUUCGGGAUAAGCCUGGGAAACUGGGUCUAAUACCGGAUAGGACGAUGGUUUGGAUGCCAUUGUGGAAAGUUUUUCGGUGUGGGAUGAGCUCGCGGCCUAUCAGCUUGUUGGUGGGGUAAUGGCCUACCAAGGCGUCGACGGGUAGCCGGCCUGAGAGGGUGUACGGCCACAAUGGGACUGAGAUACGGACCAGACUCCUACAGGAGGCAGCAGUGGGGAAUAUUGCACAAUGGGCGCAAGCCUGAUGAAGCGACGCCGCGUGGGGGAUGACGGCCUUCGGGUUGUAAACUCCUUUCGUCAGGGACGAAGCGAAAGUGACGGUACCUGGAUAAGAAGCACCGGCUAACUACGUG